AGCUCCCAGCGUGCCCCGCGCCAGGGGCCGUCUUCCGGCGGAAGUUGUCUCUUCGCCGCCGCCGCAGCCUCUGCCCCACUCGUGAGGGAUCCGAGGGCUCCGUCCUUGUGCUGUCUUCGCCCCGGCUCCCAGGGGUCAAACGAGGGUCGGGGGUGGGGACACGCAGCCUAGCCACUGUCCUGCCUGGGAUCCGGUCUCCCCCGCCCCCCGGCUGCAGGGUGGAUAAAGAGGAAGAUGUGAAGAGGAGGCAGACAAAAGCAAAAGGACAUCCUGUCAGUAGGAAACGGCCGAAUUACAAUUCAGAUGUGCAAUGUUUGCAUAAGUAAACUGACACGGGACUAUUAUAUGCAGAAAUCCACGUGCAAAAAUUUUCAGACACACCUUUGUACCUCUUCCUAAUCCUGCCCUGGUAAAAUGGCGGUUAUCAGUGCAAGUUUGAGGAUACAUACAGCUGGAAAAUGGACAUCACCAAACUGGACUCCAGAAAGUUCUGUCUAGGAUUUUAUUAGACUGCUUUUUUUCUCAAUAUACCUGUAUUGGAAGAUUGAGACAAAAAGGCACAAACUCACAUUAAAUAAACAAGGUAAUCUAAUCAAUUCUA
Homo sapiens (human) is the source of this 601-nucleotide long non-coding RNA. Ensembl annotates it as PITPNA antisense RNA 1. Its record names the gene PITPNA-AS1. The record is from Ensembl. Lineage: Eukaryota; Metazoa; Chordata; Mammalia; Primates; Hominidae.